UACGUAGGGCGCAAGCGUUGUCCGGAAUUAUUGGGCGUAAAGAGCUCGUAGGCGGCCAGUUGCGUCCGCUGUGAAAUCCUGGGGCUUAACCCCGGGCGUGCAGUGGAUACGGGCUGGCUAGAGGCAGGCAGGGGAGAACGGAAUUCCCGGUGUAGCGGUGAAAUGCGCAGAUAUCGGGAGGAACACCGGUGGCGAAGGCGGUUCUCUGGGCCUGUACUGACGCUGAGGAGCGAAAGCGUGGGGAGCGAACAGG
This 253-nucleotide ribosomal RNA is filed under the name uncultured bacterium. RNAcentral's name for it is "partial 16S ribosomal RNA". It matches the Rfam family "Bacterial small subunit ribosomal RNA", at positions 524 to 776 of the family's 1533-position model. The record is from RNAcentral.